This is a non-coding RNA of Nicotiana tabacum (common tobacco), 4176 nucleotides long. The record is from RefSeq and is a predicted model, not a curated record. Lineage: Eukaryota; Viridiplantae; Streptophyta; Magnoliopsida; Solanales; Solanaceae.
UCUUGGUGUUCCCUAACAGUUCAUUGGUUGUUUUGACGGCGAAACUAGCUUUUCCUUCUCUUUCGCUCAACAAUCUCUUCCUAACCGUUCUUUUCCUUCAAUUCAGUCUCUGUUAUUUGCUUUUCUGAUUUCUCUUCAAAUCACCAUGGCUUCUAUCCUUGGAUACCGCUCUUAUUUUUUCCGUAUUACCUUUUCAGAUGAGCUCUUGUUACUCUUUAUCUAUCUGGUAAAUCUACUGGGUAAUUUAUUCACAUCAUUGUAUCUUGUAUACUGGGUAAUUUAUUCACAUCAUUGUAUCUGUGAACUAUGGUGAUUCUUCCUCGCUAUCUGCUAUUUUUACCCGCAUAAGAUCUUUGAUAAUACCCAGAAAAAAAACCCAUUUAGGUGCAAUAUGGACAGAAUGUUGCAACCAAAGACAUUUAUGGGAAACAUAAAAAACCUUGGGAACAAUUUAUGAUGAUAUGCUAGAGGCUCUGUUUCUCCAUCUGGUCUAAUUGAGCUUUUAUUUUCUCAUGUAAAUUUUAAUUUUCUUGCAUGUUUGUUUAAUUCAUGUUUUUAUUUGAUGCACUUUUUGGGGCUUCUAAUUGUUUAUGCAUGUCAUAAUUUUAAUUUUUAUUUCCAGUGGUUUCGGCAGCCUUGAACCUUUCUAGGUGAGCAUGAUCUUGGUCUCUCUUUUAGGUUAACUUUGUGUCUAUUUUAGCCCCUUAGCCUUUCUUCACCAUUCAAGUUUUCCACUUGAUCAAGUUUUAAGAUCAUGGCGAGUGGUGACUGAUAUUAAGUAGUUGAUUAGGGUACCACUAACACACCCACUUAUGUCUACUGAAGUUCACCUUUGGCUGCAUGAUGCUUUUCAUUCAUUUCUAUUAUCAUCUGUAUUGUCAAAAGGUUAUGUACUGAGUUUUAAAUAUUGUACUUUUUGUAGGUUUCAAAUCUCAAUCUUUUACAGGUACAUAGUUGAUGUUCAUUCCAGUUUGAAACUUAGAUGCUCCGAUGCUAAAGAAGUUCAUUCUCUGUUUAGAAAAGUGACAUACUAUGAACUACAAAACGUGCUUGGAUUAUAACGUUGUUUGAUAACAAUCCAUGGUCCUCAUCUUUCUACUUCGUCGGCUGAUGCCUUCAGAAGAAGCUUUACAGAAUACUAAUAGUCAAUUGAAGCUAGAACUGUAAGUCAUGCACAUCGAGAAUAACAUUGAUUCUUCCAAUAGAAGGCUUCCAUUCUUGCACCAGAUUCUUUAGCUGAAGGAACUGGUACAAGGUUGUGUAGGCCAUUGAUUAAUAGCUUUCCAUUCUUAUAGGGAUUGUAGGUAUUUACAUGUUCUUUCUUUGAAGUUGAAGGUGAGAGCAUAGAAAAGAUUAAGUAGCCGUAAGACAGCAGAAACAUAAGAAUAGAAAGAAGAGAAAAAAGGAUAAAAGCAAGAACAUUUAAGCAAAUACAAAGCAGAUACACCAAGUGUUAAAGUAUUAAUCUGUAAACCUCAUCUAUUAGUUUUUACUAAAUCAAUUCUAUGUAUAUAUAAGAUACCAUCUCUCUCUAUAUUGUAUGUUGUGUAGUUCUAACUUCCUUGUCAUUAAAGUUCUUCUCAUAUGAUCCUGUUUUCUACUGUUUUUUAAGGAUAAGGGAAUCUAAAUAAUGACAUAAUUUUUCUUGGAGAUGUGGCAAAUUCUCUUUAGUACUUUUCGAGUUCCAUGCUUCUAGAACCAUCCUUUAACUCUUUCACAACUAUAAUACUUCUUUGCUAGCUGGAUCCUAUGUUUCAUCUGCUGAAAUUUGGUUUUUAUUGGAGUGAAGAGUGCAUAAUAAUUAAAGCUCUGGCGAACAAGGUAAGCAACUAUGAGUGUUAUACUGUCGUUGUUGAUGUGACAUGGUGGAAGAAAAUGCAGAUAGUGAGUCCAAAAAGAAUAGUGCAAGUAUUUUAUUAUAUCAAACAUACAAGUCCCUGGUUACUCAUAUUUUCAAGGAUGUAUAUAAAAAAGCAUAAUGAAAGGCCAUUUGGUUUGACGACAAUGAAAGAUGGUCAGGUGCUUUACAUCUGAAAUUUGACAGGAUGUAAAUACGCAUAGUCAAUCCUAUAAGUAGCAGUAGUUUCUUUGGCUUACAGCCAUUAAAUUUCAAGUAUGAGCAAUGAAAUUAUAUGCUAUAUCUGUUUUAGAAUUCUCCUUUUGGUCUUUCAGGAGUUUCCAUAGUUGAGUUGGUAGUUUUGAUUGAAUGGGGUGAGUGAGGAGGAUAGAGUGGGAUCAUAGGAUUUAGAGAUGUCGUGUUACAAGUUUUUUAAUUUCUAAGCACAAGCAGUACCAAAUAUUUUUUACCAUCCUUUCCCUUCCAAAGGAAGAGAACCCGACAUAUUUUUUAUUGAUCAACUUUUCUUGAACAUUUGAGAUACAGUAACCUAAAACAGUUUUAGAAGUUCAUCCUCUCUCAUGGACAUAUGGCCUUUUAUCAAAUUUUAUAGCUCUCUACUCAGAUCCUUUUCGCUCUACUUUGAUUCUUUAGAAGAUAUUGGUACAUUACUGCUAAGAUAUUCCUCUAUUUAAUAUAUAACUUACUCACCAUUUCAAAAAAAAAAAAAUACUGGUACAUUACAGAAGUAAUAAUCUGGAGUAAGUUGAGUUUGUUAUUUGUUAGGUGCCUUCAGUCUGUUUAGGAAUUAUUGCUUUGGUCAGUCGGUGAAAAUAUAGUACUACUUGCCAGCUCAUAUGGUACUUUAGAAACGAAGGGUUUAAUUUCUCUAGAGCCUUAAUAAGUGAAAAUUAGAAAAAAGCAGGUUAAUUUCAAUUAUAUUAAAAGAACAUGAGGAAUGAUGACGCAUCGCAGAUAGAUGAUACUCUGAAGUGGAGGAUUUUAAGAUAAUUUAUGAGAAUAUAAUCAUAGGAAAAGAACAAUCAACUCUACAUAAACUUGUGUUGAGAAACUGAAAAUUGAAUAUAGUUGGUAACCUCAUGUUUGUAGAUCUUCCGCACCACCAAUGAAGUAUAAUAGCCCAUCAUAUUAUUUAAGAUACAAUCCAUUUCUCUUUCUAUCGGUUUGUAAUAUUAGGGGUUAUCGCUGUUGAUCAUAAAAGUGUUUGACGAGAUCUCUAUUAGGAAAAUUUUCUCUACGCCUUAGGAGAUGGCGCUAACAACCAUCGAUAUUCCUGCAGUAAGUAUUUUAAAGUACUGUUCAUUUUCACACCUAAAAUCAUGUUGUAACCUCAUCCGAUGACCAACUCUUUCACUUUUCCCCCUUUUUCCAAUUUAGGGAAAGCAAGUAAUGUCUAAGUUGGAUUUUGUUGCACAAGUUCUGAGAUGUACGGGGACUCAGAUGAACUACUGAAAAAUUUAUCAUUGUCGCUUUUGCAGGACUGGUUAUUCCUUUAGUUGCACAGAUUGUGCUUUUUUGCUUCUAUUUUAUUUGUGUUUUUUCCAGAUUUUAUUUAAAUUGCUGAACUGUCUUCCAAGGCUUUAUGUAUCAUAGGUUUACAUGGAAGCAAGAGAAACCAAAGAUGGAGCAAUUAUUCUUCAGUUUUAAAGCAUUUGGUUAAUAAUUGGAUAAUAUUUUGAUACCAAAUCCAGCUUUAACUAUUCUUCUCAACUUGGAUAAUUGCAGAAGUGAGUAAUAUGUUGCUUGUAAACUGUAAUGGUUUGGGUUUUGACACUUUUGUUAGUGGCAUUGGAUUCUACUUUUAGUAGGGUUUUUUUAGUGCUUAAUUUGAUCUUACCAAACACCUUGCAAGUAAGCAUGAGAAUUUUGUCUUAUCAGGCUCUUAAGUUUAUGUAUUUCAAAAUUUCAUACUUAUUUGACACCUUUUGCUAAUAUUAUUUCAGAUUGUUGUUGUGAAAUCAAUAGUUAGUAGUUCGAAUCCCACACAAAUACUCAUGCCCUUCAAGAUGCAAGUGGGAGAUUCAAGCCAUUCUGCAGAAAGAACCGAUGCAUAAGCAUUUCUGUCUUGACUUGCAUCAAGUUUCCCAAGCUAAAGACGGGAUAUUACUUAUGCUGCGAUGGUCUUUCUAUUUUAUGCUUUAGCCAAAUUAUAUGAGAAAUAAAUAAUAUGAAGGAGUGUACCAAUGUAUGUAUGUCUGCAUCUAUAUGAGAAAGGGAGUUGUAUUUGACUAAUCUUAGGAUGAAUGUUGUUUUCUAAUUUGCUUUGCUGUUAAAACCAGCUUAAUUUUGAACUGUUUUGCUUUGCAAAAUUGAACUUU